CAGGGGACUUUUUCCAGGAUUUGCUCUAGCUUCAAUUCAUCACUCUCCCAGAUCUGCAUCCUUUUCCCUCCCUUCACUCUUCCCAAUCUCCCCAAAACGUCCAUCCCUACCCAAAUCCCUUCCAUUCUGGAAAUUUUCUUGAUUUUUGAUCCAAAGAUGUGUUCUUGAUCUCCAAGAUUCAUUUCCAAUUGAGCUCGAGGGGUGUUAAUGUCUAUGCGAGUUGCACAUAGGACAGAUCGGAGUAGCCAAACAUCGCGGUAUAAAGAGGACGAGGAGGAGGAUGGUAAAUUUUCUCCGGGGAGGGCGGCUCAGGACCCUAUCAAGAUGAUCUGGAGUAGAGGCUUUGUCCGGCUUGUCUUUGUGUCGGCCAUUGUUUGGAUGUUGCUCAUUCUUAUCGCGCUGUUGUUUUAUGUUUGGUCGUGUAGUUCCAAUAUCAGAUUCUUAUCAGCUUUGUGUAAAAAAGAUAGCAAAGUGCUCAAUAUGUUAGACAGCAUUGGGCUGUCACCAAAACCACAACAUCGUUGCCCAAUUCUUCUCACUGAUCCUGAGGCCAUAGUAAUCCCAAGGAGAACUCCUAAUACCAUUCCUAAAAGGUUGUCAUAUAUCACAAUGGAUGAGAAAGCAAAUCCUCCACUAUUUGGUGGACAUCAAAGUUGGACAGAGAGAGAGAAUAUCUUUCAACUUAACACGACAAUGAAGAUAUGCCCUGCACAAGCAAUCACAAUUGAAGUAGAGGAACAUAAAGAUGGCAGUCAUCACACUGCCAGAGGUUGUAUUAAGCCCGCCAUUUGUUUUUCUUCCUCUGGUGUAGAGUUUGUUGCGCUCUGAUUUUCAUGUUGCUGCACAAAAUUGCUGGGUAAAGAAAGGAGGUGCUUUCACUGGAGAGAUUAGCGGUGAGAUGCUUGUUAAUCUGGGCAUCCCAUGGGUCAUUCUUGGUCAUUCUGAGCGAAGAGCAUUGUUGGGUGAAUCAAAUGAG
Molecule: RNA transcript, 976 nt
Organism: Dioscorea cayenensis subsp. rotundata (Guinea yam)
Lineage: Eukaryota; Viridiplantae; Streptophyta; Magnoliopsida; Dioscoreales; Dioscoreaceae
Gene name: triosephosphate isomerase, cytosolic-like
Exons: 7
Source: RefSeq, a predicted model, not a curated record